This 494-nucleotide ribosomal RNA is filed under the name uncultured bacterium. RNAcentral describes it as "partial 16S ribosomal RNA". It matches the Rfam family "Bacterial small subunit ribosomal RNA", at positions 28 to 505 of the family's 1533-position model. The record is from RNAcentral.
GAUGAACGCUGGCGGCGUGCCUAAUACAUGCAAGUCGAGCGAACGGACGAGAAGCUUGCUUCUCUGAUGUUAGCGGCGGACGGGUGAGUAACACGUGGAUAACCUACCUAUAAGACUGGGAUAACUUCGGGAAACCGGAGCUAAUACCGGAUAAUAUUUUGAACCGCAUGGUUCAAAAGUGAAAGGCGGUCUUGCUGUCACUUAUAGAUGGAUCCGCGCUGCAUUAGCUAGUUGGUAAGGUAACGGCUUACCAAGGCAACGAUGCAUAGCCGACCUGAGAGGGUGAUCGGCCACACUGGAACUGAGACACGGUCCAGACUCCUACGGGAGGCAGCAGUAGGGAAUCUUCCGCAAUGGGCGAAAGCCUGACGGAGCAACGCCGCGUGAGUAUGAAGGUCUUCGGAUCGUAAAACUCUGUUAUUAGGGAAGAACAUAUGUGUAAGUAACUGUGCACAUCUUGACGGUACCUAAUCAGAAAGCCACGGCUAACUACG